RNAcentral lists this ribosomal RNA (492 nucleotides) under uncultured bacterium. Its description in RNAcentral is "partial 16S ribosomal RNA". It matches the Rfam family "Bacterial small subunit ribosomal RNA", at positions 29 to 507 of the family's 1533-position model. The record is from RNAcentral.
AGUGAACGCUGGCGGUAGGCCUAACACAUGCAAGUCGAACGGCAGCACAGUAAGAGCUUGCUCUUACGGGUGGCGAGUGGCGGACGGGUGGGGAAUAUAUCGGAAUCUACUUUUUCGUGGGGGAUAACGUAGGGAAACUUACGCUAAUACCGCAUACGACCUACGGGUGAAAGCAGGGGAUCUUCGGACCUUGCGCGAUUGAAUGAGCCGAUGUCGGAUUAGCUAGUUGGCGGGGUAAAGGCCCACCAAGGCGACGAUCCGUAGCUGGUCUGAGAGGAUGAUCAGCCACACUGGAACUGAGACACGGUCCAGACUCCUACGGGAGGCAGCAGUGGGGAAUAUUGGACAAUGGGCGCAAGCCUGAUCCAGCCAUACCGCGUGGGUGAAGAAGGCCUUCGGGUUGUAAAGCCCUUUUGUUGGGAAAGAAAAGCAGCAGGUUAAUACCCCGCUGUUCUGACGGUACCCAAAGAAUAAGCACCGGCUAACUUCGUG